CCUACGGGUGGCAGCAGUGGGGAAUAUUGGACAAUGGGGGCAACCCUGAUCCAGCCAUGCCGCGUGUGUGAAGAAGGCCCUCGGGUUGUAAAGCACUUUCAGUGAGGAAGAACGCCUGGUGGUUAAUACCCAUCAGGAAAGACAUCACUCACAGAAGAAGCACCGGCUAACUCCGUGCCAGCAGCCGCGGUAAUACGGAGGGUGCGAGCGUUAAUCGGAAUUACUGGGCGUAAAGCGCGCGUAGGUGGCUUGAUAAGCCGGUUGUGAAAGCCCCGGGCUCAACCUGGGAACGGCAUCCGGAACUGUCAAGCUAGAGUGCAGGAGAGGAAAGUAGAAUUCCCGGUGUAGCGGUGAAAUGCGUAGAGAUCGGGAGGAAUACCAGUGGCGAAGGCGGCCUUCUGGACUGACACUGACACUGAGGUGCGAAAGCGUGGGUAGCAAACAGGAUUAGAUACCCUUGUAGUC
Molecule: ribosomal RNA, 465 nt
Filed under: Vreelandella stevensii
Lineage: Bacteria; Pseudomonadati; Pseudomonadota; Gammaproteobacteria; Oceanospirillales; Halomonadaceae
Description: partial 16S ribosomal RNA
Rfam family: Bacterial small subunit ribosomal RNA
Source: RNAcentral